This 259-nucleotide long non-coding RNA is filed under the name Bos taurus (domestic cattle). Its description in RNAcentral is "long non-coding RNA NONBTAT011724". Lineage: Eukaryota; Metazoa; Chordata; Mammalia; Artiodactyla; Bovidae. The record is from RNAcentral.
UGAAUCUUGUCUGUCUGUCUGACUCAAAAGCACGUGCCUUCUUUAUAUCGCGUGCCUUAAUGUGCUAGCGUGUAAUGAGGGUUUGGUAUAAAGGAAGUAGGUAUGAUCUGUCUUGAAGUUUAUGAGGCCCUGGAGUGAGAUUGCUCAGGAUACCCAGGCCCCCUGAGAGCACUGAGCCUCGUGGAGACAGCAUGAGCUCUGCCCUGGGUCCCCUCACAAACAGCUCAGUUUUAUGAAGAAACAGGAUGAUUCAGAUCCA